Non-coding RNA from Ornithorhynchus anatinus (platypus), 138 nucleotides. Lineage: Eukaryota; Metazoa; Chordata; Mammalia; Monotremata; Ornithorhynchidae. The record is from Rfam.
ACCCUCUCAGGGCUGUACCUGGAGAGUUUCCAAUACUCUACCAGUCUCGAGUACAAGAGGGAGAGUCAAGCAGAGGCAUACCCAUUCUAUUCCUAGCUUGGGCAGUGGCUAUAGAGUAGAAGGCCAUCUGCUACAAGU